RNAcentral lists this ribosomal RNA (1198 nucleotides) under archaeon enrichment culture clone N13. RNAcentral's name for it is "bacterial SSU rRNA". It matches the Rfam family "Archaeal small subunit ribosomal RNA", at positions 151 to 1348 of the family's 1478-position model. The record is from RNAcentral.
AUUGGAUAGGCAAUUUUUCCUGUAAUGGUUUUUUGUUUAAAUGUUUUUUCGCCUAAGGAUGGGUCUGCGGCCGAUUAGGUAGUUGGUUAGGUAAUGGCUUACCAAGCCUUUGAUCGGUACGGGUUGUGAGAGCAAGAGCCCGGAGAUGGAACCUGAGACAAGGUUCCAGGCCCUACGGAGUGCAGCAGGCGCGAAACCUCCGCAAUGUGAGAAAUCGCGACGGGGGGAUCCCAAGUGCCAUUCUUAACGGGAUGGCUUUUCUUUAGUGUAAAAAGCUUUUGGAAUAAGAGCUGGGCAAGACCGGUGCCAGCCGCCGCGGUAGCACCGGCAGCUCUAGUGGUAGCAAUUUUUAUUGGGCCUAAAGCGUCCGUAGCCGGUUUAAUAAGUCUCUGGUGAAAUCCUGUAGCUUAACUGUGGGAAUUGCUGGAGAUACUAUUAGACUUGAGACCGGGAGAGGUUAGAGGUACUCCCAGGGUAGAGGUGAAAUUCUGUAAUCCUGGGAGGACCGCCUGUUGCGAAGGCGUCUAACUGGAACGGUUCUGACGGUGAGGGACGAAAGUUAGGGGCGCGAACCGGAUUAGAUACCCGGGUAGUCCUAACUGUAAACGAUGCGGACUUGGUGUUGGGGUGGCUUUGAGCUGCUUCAGUGCCGAAGGGAAGCUGUUAAGUCCGCCGCCUGGGAAGUACGGUCGCAAGACUGAAACUUAAGGAAUUGGCGGGGGAGCACCACAACACGUGGAGCCUGCGGUUUAAUUGGAUUCAACGCCGGACAUCUCACCAGAGGCGACAGCUGUAUGAUAGCCAGGUUGAUGACUUUGCUUGACUAGCUGAGAGGAGGUGCAUGGCCGCCGUCAGCUCGUACCGUGAGGCGUCCUGUUAAGUCAGGCAACGAGCGAGACCCACGCCCUUAGUUACCAGCUUAUCCUUUUUUGGAUGAUGGGCACACUAAGGGGACCGCCUAUGAUAAAUAGGAGGAAGGAGUGGACGACGGUAGGUCCGUAUGCCCCGAAUCCUCUGGGCAACACGCGGGCUACAAUGGCUAAGACAAUGGGUUCCGACACCGAAAGGUGGAGGUAAUCCUCUAAACUUAGUCGUAGUUCGGAUUGAGGACUGUAACUCGUUCUCAUGAAGCUGGAAUGCGUAGUAAUCGCGUGUCACAAUCGCGCGGUGAAUACGUCCCUGCUCCUUGCACACACCG